This is a microRNA precursor of Monodelphis domestica (gray short-tailed opossum), 87 nucleotides long. Ensembl annotates it as microRNA 873. Its record names the gene MIR873. Lineage: Eukaryota; Metazoa; Chordata; Mammalia; Didelphimorphia; Didelphidae. The record is from Ensembl.
AAGUUUGUGUGCAUUUGCAGGAACUUGUGAGUCUCCUAUUGAAAAUGAACGGGAGACUGGUGAGUUCCCGGGAACACCCACAAAUUU